Molecule: ribosomal RNA, 563 nt
Filed under: Arthrobacter sp. 01-G1
Lineage: Bacteria; Bacillati; Actinomycetota; Actinomycetes; Micrococcales; Micrococcaceae
Description: bacterial SSU rRNA
Rfam family: Bacterial small subunit ribosomal RNA
Source: RNAcentral
UCCAUCGCAUGGUGGUUGGUGGAAAGCUUUUGUGGUUUUGNAUGGACUCGCGGCCUAUCAGCUUGUUGGUGGGGUAAUGGCCUACCAAGGCGACGACGGGUAGCCGGCCUGAGAGGGUGACCGGCCACACUGGGACUGAGACACGGCCCAGACUCCUACGGGAGGCAGCAGUGGGGAAUAUUGCACAAUGGGCGCAAGCCUGAUNNAGCGACGCCGCGUGAGGGAUGACGGCCUUCGGGUUGUAAACCUCUUUCAGUAGGGAAGAAGCGUAAGUGACGGUACCUGCAGAANAAGCGCCGGCUAACUACGUGCCAGCAGCCGCGGUAAUACGUAGGGCGCAAGCGUUAUCCGGAAUUAUUGGGCGUAAAGAGCUCGUAGGCGGUUUGUCGCGUCUGCCGUGAAAGUCCGGGGCUCAACUCCGGAUCUGCGGUGGGUACGGGCAGACUAGAGUGAUGUAGGGGAGACUGGAAUUCCUGGUGUAGCGGUGAAAUGCGCAGAUAUCAGGAGGAACACCGAUGGCGAAGGCAGGUCUCUGGGCAUUAACUGACGCUGAGGAGCGAAAG